CUGAGUCAGAACUCAGUUCAGAUGAGGAGAGUGCCCCUGCCCUAGACUCAGAUCAGUCUAACGAUUUGACCGACUUAGAUUCGAAGUAUGGAGCUGUUAAGUAGUGUAAUCCCUCCACUAAGAUACUUUCCACUGACAUGCCCAGUUCUGACUUAAACAAAGAGGGAAAAAUCCUUGACCCACAGGGUGAACCGUUGUUUGAACCCGAC
Pelobates cultripes (western spadefoot toad) is the source of this 209-nucleotide non-coding RNA. NCBI's taxonomy places the organism in Eukaryota, Metazoa, Chordata, Amphibia, Anura, Pelobatidae. The record is from the annotation of a GenBank genome assembly.